AAAACUAGCUAGUCCUUUGGGUAUGAAACCCGUUUGGGCAAGAGUAGUACUAGGAUGGGUGACCUCCUAGGAAGUCCUCGUGAAAGGGUUUC
This is a non-coding RNA of Triticum aestivum (bread wheat), 92 nucleotides long. The record is from Rfam. Lineage: Eukaryota; Viridiplantae; Streptophyta; Magnoliopsida; Poales; Poaceae.